This is a long non-coding RNA of Canis lupus familiaris (dog), 9123 nucleotides long. RefSeq lists it as uncharacterized. The transcript is spliced from 3 exons. Lineage: Eukaryota; Metazoa; Chordata; Mammalia; Carnivora; Canidae. The record is from RefSeq and is a predicted model, not a curated record.
CAGGAAGCCGGGCCGACGCCGUGCGCCGCCCUCCCCGCCGCCUCGGCGAGGCAGGCAGCGCUCCGGUUCCUUCCCGCGCCGGUGGGGAGAGGCCGCGCCUUCACCUGCACCGCCGCCUGCGGACCGGGAGGCGAUCUGCCCCCCCGUCCUCCGUCCCAGGCCCGACUUCCGGGCCCUGCUGGCUCCCUGGGAGCCGAUCCCUUCGCCAGGAGGGGCUAGCCUAAGGUAUUUUUGGCUUGGAGGUGACAGGUUUUGUUCAAGGAGGAAAGUGAAAGUCUUCGGAAUUAGGGAAGCGCGAUGGACAUAUUCAUGGGCCAAUCUGGACCGUGGGCGCACCUCGCAGCAGCACCAUCCAGUUUGCUUUGGAAUUACCUUCCAGCCCUCUCCAGCAAAGCCCAGCCCAGAAAUGGAUCAAGCCCACCCCUGGGAGCUGUUCCUUUGGGAAGCAGGACCUCCCCCCUCCCCAGCCACAGCAGCCAUCAGACAGUUCUUGGAGGGUCAUCACAUGGGCAGCCAGAGAGAGAGGAUGGAUUUUUGCCACAGCCCUGUGACUUUCUCGGAGCUGAAUUUCUACUGCCAACUGCACUCUCCACCCCGCGGGAACCACGGGCCCCCAAACCAGGGCCUACCCUGGUCUGACCAAAGGCAACCAGAUCUGCUGCAGCUGUUCAGAAAGAGAACAAGCUCUCCCAGAGACGGUGGAAGCAGGGAGGGAAAGAUUCUUGCCAGCCUGGGGGUGUAAAUAUUUAUACAACGCGGUAUGUGGGAAGAGGAAAGGCAGAGGGAGGUGCUGAGACCACAGAGUAGGAGCUUGCUCAGGUGGGAAUCAGGUAGAAAGGGCAAGAGGCUACUAGGAUCCUAAUGCCCCCGUCCCCCCACCAAACUGCUAUAUCAGAGAGGCUGAUCUUUGCCCCCAUCCUUCUUUCGAGAGCUAAGAGAAGACCUUAGAAAAAAGUUCACCAUCUUUCCCAUUAGUCCCCUAACCAGAGGCUCUGCCUUCAGCCAGAGAGACAAAGCAGGUCCACAGGGCUCAAGAGUAAGGACCUGUGGGCUCCUGCAGCUUCUGGUUCUAGACUCUUAAAGGAUGCUGGACCCCAAGAGUUGGACUCUAGGGCUGAAGGCUUAGAAAACAGAGGUAAAACAUAAAAUAAGCAAAGAUCUUUCUCAAGCAUCUAUGUCCUCAACGAUAUUUUUCUGAAGUAGCAGUAAUGUUGGACAUGGAUGAAGAUGAAGAGGAACUGAUGGGACCUGGCAGGAGAGCAAGGGGUGGAGAAGGUGAGGGAGCCUUCGAUGGUGCUUCCAGAGCAGCGUAUGGCCCCCAUCGCCACAGGGCUUAGGAAAAGGCAGUGCAGCCCCAUGGACAUCCACCUGGGGAGCACCCCAAGAUGCAGCUCAGCUUCAGGUGCAUAUUGACCCAGGCACUCCUUAUCUAGGCCCGCCAAGAGCUCAGCCAGGCCCCAGUGGCACCAAUGUCCCAGGGUGGGAGACAAGCAUGGGUGGGGGCGGUGGGGGACGGCCAGAUGGACUCCAGUCGAUCUGCCUCAGACAGCUGGGGAGCAGAGCCAGGAUGCGCCUCUUCCCCCUCCCCUGUCACUUCACACAGGAGGGGUGCAGCUGCGACUUCUAGGGUUUCUCUGCCACCGCACCCUUCAAGAAGUGCCACCUGCUUCUAUCAGUAUGGGGCUGACCCUCAGGGCCUCCCACAGGUGAGUCUGUGUUGCAACCACCCUUAAGACACCUUGAAAUGAUCAGCCACUAUUUGCAUUCUCCUUGUGCUCUAAAAAACACCCCCUGGCUGGGCUGGGGGUAUUGGGAGGGUAGGGCCUUCUGCUGGAAGGCUGCCUCAGGUCUUUGGCCAUAGAGCUAGUAUCAUAGCACACCUAGAUUCCCCCAAGAGGCAGCCCCCUAUGCUGCAAGGCCCCCACCCACAGCACAGAGCUUUGCAAGUAAUACAUUCCCAGUGUGUGCAGCGCCUCCCCUGAGCUCCAGCCUUUAGCGUGCAACCUGAUGAAUCCCCCACCUGUCCACUCAGAGAGGAAUGGGACCCAGGCCCACACACCAUGGAGGAAACACCAUCUGCCCCAACCCUCGGCCCCAGCCUGGCAAUGAACGCUCACAGGAGGACAGCCUCACUGUCCCUAAGCCCCCCUCUCCAGAAGCGAGCUCCUCUUCCAGGGAUACCAGGGCUAGAGGAGACUCUUCAGAUGCUCGGGUCCUCUCCUGCCACCAUGGCCCUGCCUGCCGGCUGUGGCCUCCUUCUUGCCAGCACUGCUGAAACAGAUGAGCAAGAAUAAAAGCCUGUGUGGCCCAAGGAAAGCUUUAGGGGAAUGAACUGACGCUGAAGGAAAAGAAGGGGAAGAGGAGAGGAAGGGAGUUCAGGAAACUGACAAAGUAAACCAUCCGGGAAUCCAGAUGUAAAAUAAGGCAGGCCAAAAGAAAAGAAAAAUUAUGCUAAGAAGGCAGAGUCGGGUGGGGAAGGGAAUUGAGAAUGAAAAAGAGGGUGAAUGUUAUAAAUAUUCUGAAAAGGAAGAAGAAUGUGAAAGCAAACAACAUGAGAAAAAAAAAAAAAAAAAAAGACCCAGGAGGGAAAGAGGGGCAGCAAUGAGUUUAAAACUGCUUUCACCCUCAACCAACCACACUCAGUAAUGUUCUGAGUCUUACUGCACUUGUGGAUUUCAGACUCUUCUAACACUGAGCAGAGGAUGCCCUAGAAAACAAGCCUUCCUGUGUGCCCAUGUUUUUCCUAUGAGUCCCCCAGCUCACCCCACCGUUGGUCCUUCUCAGGAGGAGAAGUCAUCUUCCUGGGGCAAGGCUGAAAACCAUUGCCGUUCGCCCCAGAGCCGAGUGGCUUCCAUCAUGGUGCCCUCUGGAGGGCCCACUGGGGAAACUGAGCUGGAGGAGCCCUGGCAUGGAGAAGCACUGGGUGUGAUGCAGCUGUACCAUCAGCUUUUCAUCUUCCAGCUCCACCUGUCUGUCGAUGGACCAGGGCUAGCCCAAGCCUCAGACCCAAGGUGCCUGGAACAGCAGGGGUUCCUGGAAGAUGGCAUACCCAAUUCUGUGCAGAGCCUGAGGAGUCCCAACAAAUGCAACUUUUGGAAACAACUUAGACGAUUUAAAUGCCCUUCCAGGCAUUCCCAAGGGGACUGAAAUAGCUACAGUUUUCUCAUUGCUAAGGUGGCAAACAGCUUAGCUUUUUGAAAUUCACCUUCCAUGCCUCCAAUUCAUGUAUCAGCAAAGAAGGCUUGCAGAAGAUGCUGGUUCCUCUCCCUUUGUCUGCCUGGCCUUUCAGCCUUCGAUUGCCCCUCUUCCUGUGAGUCAGCCAGGGCCUCUCCUCUGUGUCUGCUUAGGUCGCUCGUUUCCCUUACUUCAUCACACCCACCUCUGCCCACUAGUCCAUUUUUCUAUGAGCGCAGCAGGAGUCUGGAGAAAGCUAAAGCAAAAUCGAGAAGCAAAGGAAGUAAGAAAUGCAAGUUUGGUUUAAGCGCCCAGCGUUGGCGUGCCCAGGCUGUCUGGAGGCAGGCUCCUGGUAGACAGGGGUCCGAGCCUCACCAGGCCACCUAAAAAUUCUCUCCCAGAGUUCAGCUGAAGGGAAGCCACACAGCGUGAUGAGGACAAAGGAAACAGUGCCCACACUGGCCCUUCUCCCCAAGAAUUCUUAAAUACUUCACCCUGGUUCUGUACAUUCCAAAAGUCUUAUUUUUUUCUAUAAAAAACCUAAGAGAUGUGGCAAAAUGUACAGCAGGUAUCACGGUAGGUUGUAGCCUUGGAUACUCAACCCAUUUUCUUCUCAUCCCUCCUAACCUUCCAAUCUGCCACAGUCGUAUAAUCUAUGACUCAAACUAUUAUUUAACCGUGAAAAAAAAAAAGACAAACCAGGAAAUUAGAGGCUGAAUGACCUAAAAUUUAUUCCAUUCAACUGAGCUAAUCUCCUAAUAAGGGUGUGUAUAAUAAUAAGUCAUGCUAUAUCUGUUCUGGAAGAUGUGAACAUCGCAGGGAAGAGUGCAUGGUGAUUGCAGAUCCCAACUUGUUGAGAUUUGUCCUCAAAAGGGUAAGUGCCUGGUCCUGGGCCAAGCUGCCGUGCAGUUUGCCAAACAAGUCUUAAUGUUUGCCCGAGUUAGGCCUGACCACUUUCAGAUCCCCGGCACUGCCACCGCCUAGGCAGACAAGGGACUUACCUGCCUUUUCCGUCUCCUCCGCUAUGAAAUGGCAGUGACAGCAAUCCCCAUCUCCUGGGGCUGCUGCUGUGAGGACAGAUGAGCAAGGCGCUUGGCACAUGUGAGCAGCUCCCCUCCCUAAAAGCACCCCCCUAGUCAACUGUUGCUGUAUGUUCUGCAGCGAAUUGGCAAGACCAAGGAGGAGGCUGGAGGCCCCACAAAGUGGGGUUCCACGGAGUCAUUGGAACGCGGUCAAGUAUCCCGAGCAAGAGAGAGAGAAGAGGGUCCCAGAGGAGGCCCAGGCAGCUGGCGGGUGGAGACUGCAGGGAGAGCCAAGGACAGCCACUCACAGCGUGGGUGGGAGGACGCAGGGGGCUGCGCUCCAGUCCUCCCGCAUUAGCUCAACUCGUCAGUGUCCCCACCCUUGCAUGUGUUCAUCCUUCCAUGGACCCCAGCGUGUAGUUACCUAGCACCCACUAUGUGCACCGCACAAGCCAGGCCAAGGGCCAUCGUUGGGGAGCAAGCUUGAGCAGGGAUCACAGGCCUCAGAGAGUUAAUACCCGGGCCUUUCUGCCCAAAUUCAGAGAUCUGUCCUUUUAGGAGCUAGCCUGCGAGGAUAUGACCAAAUGCUGAGAAAUUCUUAUUUCAGGGCCAAUUUUCUUUCUUAAAGUAGAAAGGCAAAGAGUUCAAAAAUGUUCUGGAAAUGUGAAUGCUAACUGAAUCUUGUUAACAUUUAAGGGGUAUUAUUAAUUUUUAGGUGAAAUAAAGACAGUGUGACAAAGUGUAACCAGCCCUUUUCUUUCGAGGUACAUACUAAAAUACUAGCAGAUAAAACAGUGUGCCCUGAUAUAUAGGAUUUACUUCAGUAUGAUAUGGGAGGUGGGGAGGCAGAUGGUGGAGUCAGUGGACAAGCCUGACCAGGAGUUGCCGAUGUUGGUGAUGGGUAUGGGGGAUUCAUCGUACUAUUCUGUCUUCUGUAUAUUUUUGACAUUUUCCAUAAUAAAAUGUCUUAAGUUCAUAAAGGCUGAACCAUCUUAAACUCAGGGAUUCUUGUCUUAUUGGUUCUUGCAACAUGAUAUGUUACUUCCUGAGGACAUGUGCUCUCAGACAAGAGAUGAGGCUAUGGGAGACCUGCCAGGAGUGGGGAGAGCUGGGGAAGAGGCAGGAAGACCACCACCCAGGGGGCAGGAAGGCACCCCAAGCCCACCUCCCCGCACACACAGGAGACCCAAGAGUGGUGUCCCAUCACUCAGGGCCUCCCAGGCUAGGAAGAAACAUUCAAAGAGACUGGUGUUCAUUUGGCACUGCUUUUAAACUCAGUGAAAACUGUUCUUAGGUUGGUUUCAAUGUAUUUUAAAACACAAUGCAUUUUUUCCCCCAGCAGAUAGCGAUUAUAGCAGAGUGGACAACUUCCCUAACCUCAAAUGGAAAAUGAGGUGAAUCAGACGUGCCCCACUUCCAAGAUCGUGAGGCUACAUGAGAUUAAGGUACGUGAAGUGUCUUGGUACUAGUAAGCACUGAUGAAGAAUGGGUAGGAUUUGAGGAGUUAUUGGCAAAUGUCAGUAUUUAGCCUCUCAGGACCCUAGUGGAGGCACCCCAUAUCUUAAGUGUUCUAUUUGAACUGCAGUGGCCUCACUUAAACACUGAAAUUAGUUACAAGUCAAGGCACACAUACUCUGAGACCUCUCUGGCCAAGAAUCCUACUGGGUGUCACAGAAGCCACUGCUGUCCUCUCCCUCUUCAGAAGGGCCUCCUGCUCUGAGAAGAACGGGCCACCUGGAAUGGAGCCCCCACUUCCUCUCUCUUUGAAGAAUUAAUUGAAAAAUGAGGACUAGGGCACUCUGCACUUGGGGGCCGUGGCUUUGAAUGGCAAGAUGGGUCGGUCCUAAGAAGGCAGACGUUCAGCAGUUCAUCUUAUUUCCAAAUACAGGGGCAAGGAGUUCAGGAUACACAGAUGGACAGCAGGCCCUGUGCUCUGCAGCGCUCCCCAGCAGGGAACUCCUGAAACCUUCCCCAGCUGAGUUAUAGGCAAGUGGUCAUGAAGGCCGCCAGACCCCAGGGAGCAGCAGAACACAGUUUCCCAGGUCAGAGGGACGAGGUGCCAAAUGGCUGGGCAAGGUGACCGAACCACUGACACCCUUCUAAGAACAAAAUUAAAUAGCCAUGGCAUCCAGAGGCAGGGAUCCCAGAAGAGGCGGGUGGCCCACAGAGCCAGUUCAUAAGUCUUUGCCACUUGUCCCCAGGCAACUGGUUAAGUGGCUUCCUAGAGACAAGAACCAGUAAGGAGGAGGUGUUCAUGAGGCAAACGGGACUGGAAAGCACAAGGGGACAGAGCAGAAGGCAGUCCUGUUGCUGAGAAAGCAGCCACCCCAAGUCCUUAGAUUCUUGCUCUGUGGCCUCCUACCAAGCGGUGAUAGUGUUUGUCCUAUCCCAAUCUGCUCAUGCCCCAGGCUCUCCUUUAUACCAUUGUCUGCCCAACCUGGCUGCAUGUUCUUUGCACCUUCUUCCCUAGAAGAAACCAGAACGGAGGGAGGUAUCCCUACACAGAAUGUGAACACUCUCAAAAUGUCCUUGGGCAUUCACAGGAUUAUUCUAAACUCUAUGAAAGUGUCCUGGCUCCAGAGAAGAGAGCAAUCUCUGUUGUGAGACCUUGAAGGGGGCGGAAAGUGGGGGGAGGGGAGACUAAGAGCAGAGCACAGCCUUUGGAGCCUCCAUGCCUGAGUUCGAAUUCCAGCUCUGCUACUUAUCAACCCUGUAGCAACGGACAAGGUGCUUAGCCCUCUGAGCCUCAGUCUUCUCUGUGAAAUGAAGAUAACAAGUGGCUCUAUAGGGCAGAGCUAGGGCUUACAAUGAUGGCUAAACAGAAAAGGCCCUCAGUAAACAUCAGCAAGGGUUCCUCCUCAGCCUGGUGGGGAUGCAUUACUGACAGCCCCACGUUUCCUGGAAGAAAUAACUGUGCUACAAGGUGGGAAAGUAUCUGAAGGAAGCGUAAAGUCUUCAUAGAAAGUAGCUCAGGGACAUGCACAGAGUGCUGCAAAUCAGAAGCCCCAAAUAUCUGUGCGUCCUGCCAUCUGAAUGCACCUCCUAGAAGCCACCAGCUUCGGAAGGCUGCCUGGAGGAGGGGCCCUGAGUCUGGAGUAGAAAUGAUACCUAGUAAAAAAAAAAAAAAAAAAAAAAAAAGAAAUGAUACCUAGUGUUGUCUGUGGACAGGUAGAGAAGGAAAGGAAUACCCAGUGGGUGCAGCCCUCCUGUGGCCACUUUGACUUUUGUGCUGGAGAAGCAGAAAACAUCACUUGACUCUAAGCGGGGCUUAUUAAACUUAUCAGCCAGAGACUGAGAGGCAGGCAGGCUGCCCCAUGGGGAACAGGCCCACCUGGCCAGGCCUGGGGAGAGCGAGCCUUGCCCUUGCCGAUGCCAGCCUGCACCAUAGGGUUGGGCUUCCCUGGGAUGGGAAGGAAAGAGUUAAAACGACUCUGGGCUUCAGGAGGGCGGCUCUGCAGCUAUAAACAGUGAGCCAAGGGAGGGAGGGAGCUGACACAGGAUGUGGCCAGGGCUCGAGCUGUCUGAUUAUUAACUUCACUUUUAUUUGGAGGGGGAUUCGAUUCUCUGUUUUACUUCCCAUCAAGGAAGUGAAAGCCCAGGUCUCAGAGGGGCCUGGUUUCAAAUUGUUUUGUCACAGCUCAUUCAUUUUUCCUCUUAAAUAAAUAAACAAAACCACCUCUUUGUUUUCCCCUUAAUGAGCGUUCAGCAAAUCAUCUGUGGGUGAGGCAUGAAAGGGGUUUUCUGGAGUCCUUCAUGAAGCAUUUGGCUUAUUCUUUUAAAAGGAAAAAGGAUUCUUCCUGUAGCUUCAGCCUCCUCCAAGACUCUCCAGGCACUUUCCUUUCUGCAUCCUGUGGGACCUCAGCCCAAAUACCACCUCAAGCCCUGCUUAGACCUUUCUUGGCUGGCCCCUGGGGCCUGACCUGCAGACUGGGCAUCCCUGUCACAGGAUCCCACCCCGAGGCCACACAGGGGAAGCAACAUCCCAGGACUCAGUGGUUAGUCUUCUUGGUCAACUCAGCUCCAUGGUGUUUGUUCCUAUGACACCCUGACAUUUCCACUAAAAAUAACUUAAAGCAAUUAAAAACACAAAAGGAUUCCAUUACAGGGCUUAAGAAAACACCAUUAUAUGUUCCUUUGCCCAAGGUUCAAAACGUUUGAGAACUUUGUUUCCAAAGCCAAAACCCAUUCAAUAAUUUCAUGAUUGUCUGGCAACAACCCUUUACUGAAUGACCUACAUGGGUGAGGUGCUGUUGUCAGGGACACUAAGACCACUGCUAUCUCAUGGUCUCUCCCCUCAAGGUGCCCAUAAUUUAGUGGGGGAAGACAAACACAAGGAAGAAAACAGAGUCCUGUUAGCAAAGGCUAAUGGUACCACCCGUGGGCAGAGAAGGAGGGACAGAGUCUGCUGACAGCAAAGAGAGGGAAACUGAGGAAGGCUUCCUGCUGGAGCUGAUAUAAAGAAUAUUUUAGAAGCUGAAAAAUCCCAAAUGACAAGAGAGAGAGAGUGUGGAUGAGUGAACCAGGUCAGAUGGAAGACAACAGGUGUGGUGUGGCCCGCAGGCCUGAGGCUCCUGGAGGGGCAUUCGGAAUGGCACUGAAAGUCCUCAUGGUGGAGAGGGACGGAGAGGAGACUGGCACUCAGAUUCAGACCCAGGCUGCCGGUCCUUGACCCUUGGCUCGGACACCCGGACACCCGUGUGGCCUGGGGAGGAGCGGCACUCCAUGCUGUGAGCACCAAGACACGCACUUGGCUGCAGCUCGCCUCGGAUCCGAUCCGACUGCAGACCAACACCUGCUGGCCGCAGGAGCCGCUUCACCGCCUCUGUAGGCUCUUCUAACCCCGGGCGAGGAGGAGGAGGUGCGCCGCAAGGGGCCCGCUGCGCUUCGCAGAGGCCUCGGGGGCUGGGGCUGCCCGGGCCCAGGCGCC